This 8760-nucleotide long non-coding RNA is filed under the name Sus scrofa (pig). RNAcentral's name for it is "lncRNA (ENSSSCG00015018025.1)". The record is from RNAcentral. Lineage: Eukaryota; Metazoa; Chordata; Mammalia; Artiodactyla; Suidae.
GGAACUCCAUGAUUUUGUGUUUUUAAUGGUCUAUCCAAAUUUGUGAGGUCUUUCUGAUUAUGUAGGUAAUUAUGCAAAUGUCAUAGGGAAAGGCUGGGGGAUUUCACGAGAACAUAAUUUUAUUCAAUGAGUAGUGAUUUUAGAAUGCUGAAGUAUUAUUUUAAAAUGCUUUCAAGCUUUUGGAGGUCGAUGACAUCGUGCAGACUGCUGCGAUGUGAUCACAGCUUUCCUUGCUCACCUCUGAGAAAGCUUGGAGGAGUAUCCGAACCCCUCUAAAGCUCCAUUUUUUUCAACUCUAAAAUGCAGAUCAUACCACCUACCCCAUUCGGAUGUUUGGGGGCCCACAACUGGUCCAGUCAAAGACUAGUACUUGUUGUCAUUGCAGUUUAGGAACUGAGUGACAGUUCAGGUUACCUCUGGAAAUGGUGGAUGUGUUAGCACAUAUUUUCUCAGUGUUUAUUGUGUGACAGCCACUGUGAAAAGCUCUUCAACUGUAAUCUCAUUUUAUUCUCCAAGUGUUCCUAGGAGGCAGACGCCAUUAUUACCUUCCAGUUACAGGUAGGGAAGUUGAGUCAUAGGGAGGCUGCCAUUGCUGUUAAAUGUGGAGCCAGGAUUUGAAGCCAGAUAGUUGGCUCUAGAGCCUGUGUCCUUGAUCAUUCACUCUAAACCUCCUGGACACCUGGGCAUGCUCAGGGUCUUUGGAUGGAGGAGAACCUCUUUGCCCAGGGUUGAUUUUUCAGACUGACCGACCAGUUUUUAUUGGUCGUCAAAGGUCCCUAUCAACUGUGUAGGAUUCUGUGACCCCUGGGUUCGUCACACACAGGGUGAACACCUUGGGAGUGUGGCCUGGGGACCCAUCAAGCUGACCUCACUGAACCACAGUGCAGAUCCAGGUAGAACUUGGAAGUUCAUGUAUUUUGGGGCACAUUAGAAGUUCAGUUUGGGGAAGAAUUAAGGGCUCUCUUUCAACCUGAAUAUAGUUUUACUAUAACAAUCUUGACUUUGCCCUUCCUUUCCCCACACCCCAAUCCUGGGGAAAGCUCCUUGUCCAUGAUUCCUUAGCAACCCUCCCCACCACAAGCGGGCCAGUAGUUGUUUUGCAGGUGGGCUCACUUCCUCGCCUCUUAAUUUGCUCACUACCGACACCCUUUGACCUCACCACUUGGGGUUUACAGAGGGCCAUAGAUCAUGGCCAAAUGGUCUGGUGCUUUAAAAAAAAAAAGCCACUGUAUUCAACAUAGGAAGAAAAGGUGGCAUGAUGGGUUUAUUUGCCUCUGGGAGGAGUAGGUGGCUAAGGUGGGCAGGCCUCAGAGACAGGAUGAGUGGUUUUACUAACUCCCAGUGGAAUCCUAUUCAUUUACUGUCCUUGGAUUGGAAUCUACCCAGGGAUGCAGUAUCUUUGUCUAGUUGAACUUAAAAGAUUUACCACCACGUGAAGUGACUUUACAUUAAAACGGGCUGAUAGACCAUAAUCUUCAGUUUCUGGCUGGGAUCAGAUGUUGAGCAACCUGACCUUCUAAUUGAAGGGAAGAAAUCCCCAGGAGUCAGGGAGGAUGACAAUGAGGAGGAAAAGGAUGUCUGCUGUGUGUCACCAGCUUGAUUGAGUUAACCUCGGCUUUCCAGGCUCGGUUUGUGGCACCUAAGAUGAGGCCCUGUGGAACUCUGUAUUGUCUUUGUUUUAAAGUCAAAGCAGGUGAUUUUGUUAAACCUACUGCUGGAGUGUGAAUUCUUCAAAAGACCUAAUUACUUAUUCUGUAUCCUUUGUAUCUGGUAGAUGUUAAAUGAAUGUUGGUUAGGUCAGUUAAUGAAUUAAGUUUGUUAAAUUAAUAAAAGAAUACUAGUUGAGCUGCUCUCUUAUUUCCAUUUUCUUAUUAUUAGGUUUUCAAAACCUGUACCCCUAACCACCAAUAAGCAGGGACAAUUGAUUUUCCAGUUAUAUUUAAAAUAAUGAGAGAAUUAAGCUGCUGCAUUUUGACAAAAAGUAUAAAGAUGUGAAUUACCUAUAAGAGCAAAGAUAGCAAAAUCAACCCCAAUAGCCUUAAUCUCAGCUAUCAUUGUCAUAGACCACUGGGAAUCGUCCCUGUCCAGCAGCUUCUGUCCCAGUCUGGGUGCCAAGUGGUUACUGUGAAUUAUUUGAGUGAUUAUGAUAUUUGAAGUAUAGAGAAGCACUAAUUUAAACUAUGCUGUCUUCCUAAAAUUCCCAACAUGCUAUUUCUUGUUUUCAACAGUUUUCUGUGACCCUUGAUGAAGUGCUUGCUUGGUACCUGGUGGAGGUUUCUUCCCUGACUUUAGUAGUCUGUAGUUUGCAGUUUAAUUUUGUUGGAUGACUCAGGGCAAUAAUUGCAUUCUCAAGAAAGACUAUUAUUUAUAAAUAAGUAAUUUAUCUUUUUAAAGCUACAAAUCACCAAGUUGUGAGCUACCUAGUCAGCCACUGUAACAUGUUGCCUUGGAGCCAGUAAGGAUUUAAAUUUCCUGUGAACAAGUCCUCUUGUGCUGGGGAGAGGGUAGAAACAGCCUGGCAGCCUGGGCGGGCCCUGCACUGCCUGCCUUUGGGAUUCAGAGAUAUUGCCUUGCAGGUGGUGUGGCACUUGCUCACUUCUUUUGAGUAAAUGUCUGUAGGAAAUGGAUGCCAUCACUCUAGAGGAGUGUGGCCAACCUCAGUUUGCUGAUGUGGGAGUUACUGAAAUGUAACAGUGUUAGCCCCAAUACAGUGUAAGUUCCUUGGGGCAGGACCCUCAUCUAUGUAUGUUCCAGUCCUAUGAACUCAAUUGAAAUUGGUCUCUUUUUUUUGUCUUUUUAGGGUUGUACCCAUGGCAUAUGGAGGUUCCAGGCUAGGGGUCCAAUCAGAGCUGUAGCCACCAGCCUACACCACAGCCAUAGCAACUCGGGAUCAGAGCCUCAUCUUUGACCUACACCACAGCCCACGGCAAUGCCAGAUCCUUAACCCACUGAGCGAGGCUAGGGAUCGAACCUGUGUCCUCAUGGAUGCUAAUCAAGUUCGUUUCUGCUGAGCCAUGAUGGGAACUCCCGAUUGAACUGAUUUCUUGUUAGAAUUUCCAUUUCUGAAGCUCCCAUUAUUGAAAAAAUUACCACAGAAGUACAAUAGGAGAGGGGUUUUUCAAAGGCACAGUGUGUAGAUAAGUUGUGCGUUAAAAAUGACUUACCAAAUAUAUAGGUUCAGAAUGUUCUCAGUGUCUUCAGUAGUUUUUUCUCUUCCCCAAUUAUUUAUUUUUUAAUUGAAAUAAAAAACAUCAUAAUAUUAACUAUUUUAAAGUGUACAAUUCAUUGUUUUUUAGUGUAUUCAGUUUUGUGCAACCAUGAUCAUUAUGUAAUUCUUGAGCAUUUUUAUCACCCCUCAAAGAAACUGCAUCCCCAUUAAGAGCUCUUUGCUCAUCCUUCAUCCUGCCUUUGGCAGCCCCCAAUCUACCUUCUGUCUCUGUGCUUUUGCCUAUACUGGACAUUUCAUGCACAUAGAAUCAUAUGCUAUUGAGUCCUUUUGUGUCUGGCUUCUUACACGUAACAUAAUGCUUCCAAGUUUCAUCCAUGUUCACCUGUGUUUGUAGCACGUAUCAGUCCUUCAUUCCUCUUUAUGACUGUAAAUACUAUUGCAUUGUGUGGGUAUCCCCCACCUUGUCUCUCCAUUCAUCAGCAGAUGGGCAUUUGUGUUGUCUCUACUUUUAAGCUAUUAUGAAUAAUGCUGCCAUGAACACUCAUGUAUAAUUUUUAUAUAACUAUAUUUUCAGUUCUCUUGGAUAUAUACCUAAAAGUGGAGUGAGGGGUCAUAUGUUAAUUCUCUGUUUAACUUUUUGAGGAACACUCAGACUCUUCCACAGUAGCUGCACCAUUUUGCAUUCCCACCAGCAAUGUACAAGUGUUCCAGUUUCUCUACAUCUUAACCACAUUUCCUUUUUUCUUUUUUUUUCUUAAGCAUUUCUAGUGGGUGUGAGGUAGUAUCUUACUGUGAUUUUGAUUUGCAUUUCCUUCUUCAGUAUUUUGAUAGCUUUAAUAUGAUGUAGAAAUUCUUCCUUCAUUCUAGCCUUUUAGCUUUUGCCACUCUAACCACCCCACCUUUUUUUUUUUUUUUGCCUUUUAGGGCCGCACCCAUAGCAUAUGGAGGUUCCCAGGUUCCCAUGCUAAGGGUCCAAUCAGAGCUGUAGCCACUGGCCUAUACCGCAGCCACAGCAACGCCAGAUCCAAGCUGUGUCUACAACCUACACCAUAGCUCAUGGCAAUGCUGGAUCCUUAACCCACUGAUCGAGACCAGGGAGUGAACCCACAACCUCUUGGUUACUAGAUGGACUUGUUUCUGCUUCGCCACAAUGGGAACUCCUCUCUCCACCUUUUUAUGUCUCCUAAGAGGCAGGGGAAGAAGAGCUAGGAGAAAUUAAAAGUAGAAUGUAUGGGGUUCCCAUCAUGGCACAGCGGAAACAAAUCCGACAAAGAACCAUGAGAUUGCCAGUUUGAUUCUUGACUUUGCUAAGUGGGUUAAGGAUUGGCAUUGCCAUGACCUGUGGUGCAGGUCUAAGACGUGGCUUGAUCUGGCGUUGCUGUGGUUGUGGCGUAGGCUAGCAGCUGUAGCUCCAAUUGGACCCCUAGCCUGGGAGACUCUAUAUGCCUCGGGUGCAGCCCUAAAAAGCAAAAAAAAAAGUAGAAUAUUCUAACAGAGUGCAUAUUUAUUUUUGUCUUCAUCUCAAAUAUGAUAUAUCUUUAAGAGGCAUAGAUGUGCAUAAAGUAGGCAAUGAAUGUAAUGUGUGUGUAUAGACAGCUUAUUCAAAAUGAUUUGAUGUUUAAAAGCUUUAAACUAGUAAUAUGGUAAGAAUUAAAAUCUCUUUUUUUUUUUUUCCUUUUUAUGGCCACUCUUGCUGCAUAUGGAGGUUCCCAGGUUAGGGGUCAAAUUGGAACUGUAGCCUCCUACCUGCACCACAGUCACAGCAAUGCCAGAUCUGAGCCACGUGUUCAACCUACACCACAGCACAUGGCAACGCCAGAUCCUUAACCCACUGAGCGAGGCUAGGGAUCGAACCUGCAUCCUCAUGGAUCCUAGUCAGAUUUGUUUUCGCUGAGCCACAAUGGGAACUCCAGUUAAUUGUUUUUUGGAAAAAAAAAGUUGAAGGAAACCUGAUAAACACAGACUCAGCCAGGUGAUCAUGACUUAACAGUGAUAAGUCACAUUGAUGUAUCCUUGAUACGAUGUGAUGGCAAUGGCAAUUUUUCUUUGUGGUCUUUCUCCCCCCCCAAAACAUCAUAACCCCAGUCUAAUCAUGAGAAAAAGACUCACCAAAUCUCCAUAGAGGGCAUUUCACAAAAUAUCUGACCAGUACUCCUUAAAACUGAUUUCAAAACCAAGGAAUAUCUGAGAAACUGUCACAGCCAGGAGGAGCCUAAGGAGACAGGAUGAGUGAACACCAUAUGCUGUCCUCAUGGAAUCCUGAGACAGAAAAAGAACAUUCGGUAAAAGCUAAUGAAAUCUGAAAAAGUUAUGCAUCUUAGUUAAUAACAAUGUAUCAAGAUUGGUUCACUGAUGUAUUGUGGAAAAGUGUAGGAUAUAUGGAACCUGCACUAACUGCUUUCUGUAAAUCUAAAACUGUUCUAAAAGAAAUAGUUUACUUUAAAAAAAUUACAGAAAAACACAAAAAACAGUUGAAAGUGUUUUUCUUUAGUCAAAGUGUGACCAUACUAUGUAAUUAUGGGUUUUUUGGUAUACUUGAAAAGCAGUGGGCAAACUAUGGCUCAAAAGCCAAAUCAGCCUGCAGCCUUCUUUCUUUGUAUCCGUCCAGCCAGUCUUACAUCAUUAAAGGGUUGUAAAAAGGACAAACAAAAACAGAAGAAUUUGUGUCCGAGAUUGUACAUGGCCCACAAAGCCUAAAAUACUCUCUGGCCCUUUUCAGAAAAAGUUGCCAAUUCGUGAUACAAAGUGAAAUGAUGAAGUGUUUACAAUAUCUUAUAUAUAAGAUAAGUAUUAAGAGAAGUAUUAAUCUUAACUGAUAAAAAUGGCAUGAUUAUUACCGUUCAUUGAUGAUCGACUUCAUAAACAACUUUAGGUCCUGAUGUAUAAAAACGAAUCAUGCUUGGGUGCUGAAUUGGAGGAGUUUCCUUACUUCUCUUAUUACUUAUCUUUUAAGGACAUGCAGCAUGCUACUUAAAGUUUUCCAAACCCAUUCUUCUCUGACACAGCUGGAAUUGUACAUGGGGACGUGAGAGAAACAGGCCAAAACAAAAAACUUUUAGAAGUACCAUAGUUUUUUUCUUGUUCUUUUUAGGGCCGCACCUGUGACAUAUGGAAGUUCCUGGGCUAAGGGUUGGAUUGGAGCCUCAUUUGCAACAUACUCUUCAGCUCAUGGCAACACCAGAUCUUAACCCACUGAGCCAGACCAGGGUUCAAACCUGCAUCCUUACAGACACCAGCGGACACCAUGUUGGCUUCUUAACCCUCUGAGCCACAGUGGAACUCCCAUAGUUAUUUGUUCACAGUUUACUCUUGGAAGUAUAAAUAUUAUAGUCAUCUGGUUUGGCUGGAAACAUGACUUUCCUGGGAUGUAUUAAUGGUAUUUAUAAAAUCACAAAGUUGGCCAUGAUGAUCAAAUAGAAAAUAAUUCCAUGUAUUAUUUUUACUUUACCAAGCUGGUACCUAUUAUAGUUGUGAGUGUUCUAAAGAUGCUAUGAAGGGCUAAAAUUGUUUUGCUCUGUACAUAAUUGCUCCUGUGCUGUUAACCCUGAUGUCAGUAAAGACUACCUGGUUCUGAGAAGAGAGCAGAGAGUAGCAUUGAAGUUAGAGCCCACUGGGAAGUGGUUUAGGACGGAGUAACUGAGGUAAGCUUUGGAAGCUGUUCUUUUACUCCUAAAACACAGGAGGAGUUACAGUGGUCCCCCUAGAGAAUUUGAACACAGGUGUAUAUUUAACCUACAUGGUCCCCCAGGGGGUGCAGUUAGGAGAUUUAAAUUUAAAGAAUCGUAGGCAUUAUUUUGACUUACUAGUGACUUUUAGCUAAAAAAGUGUCCCAAGUAUUUCUGGACAAAUGAAUGUGUCGGAUUUAGCAGUGGUUGUGGUCACCACUCAGGCCACACUAUAUGUGAGCGCUGACAAUUCCUAUUUAGGAAAGGUUGACUUACAGAAAUUUGUGCUAUAAACUCCUGAUGAGAAUUCUGACUUGGUGAUAGACCUGGAAUUAUGUUACCGAUAUUGCUCCAUUAUUGCUCCAUUGUAUACGAGGGUGAUUUUAUUAAGUGGCGCUGAUCUUCAAUGAAGUUUAAAGCAUGGUAGAUCAUGUUUACGUUAAAAGAUUUGAAAGGCACAGAGUAAAGUUUUACUCUGUAGUUUCCCUUAGUGUUAUGGUUUUAAACAGAUGUAACUUAAAAUGCCAAUCAUUUUUUUUCCUUUGAAAUCAUGACAGUGAAGGAGUGUGUAGAAUCCAUAUUGUACAUGGUGUCCCUGGGUUAUCAGUUUUGUCGGCUUAUGGGUCCAGGUUUGCUAACUUUUUGGCUGGUCAGGAAUACUCUCUAUACUGUGUAUUCUUUUUUUUUGUUUUUUUUUUUUUGUUGUUUUGUUUUUGUUUUUUGGUCUUUUUAGGACCACAUCCAAGGUAUUUGGAAGUUCCCAGGCUAGAUAUCAAAUCAGAGCUACAGGUGCCAGCCUACACCACAGCCACAGCAAUGGGGGAUCUGAGCCAUGCCUGCCACCUGCACCACAGCUCACAGCAAUGCCAGAUCCUUAACCCACUGAGCGACACCAGGGAUCGAACCCUUCAUCCUUAGUUGAGGAUGAAGACUUGCUUGGUGUGUAUACCAUUCCUUUGUGCCCUGCUUAGACUACCCAUCCCCAUGGGCACUUAGGAACACUGCAGGGCCCCAUGCCCAUGGAAAUGAAAUAUGAGUAUUUGAAGGAUCCUUGCUUUCUUCCAGCAGCCUCCAUAAUCUUUCCCCAGCCUGCUUUUAAAGAUGUGGCCUCCUGGUCAUUCACUCUCUCACUCAUUCAUUUAAGCAUUCAUCAAACAUUUGAAAAUCCUAUAUGCCAAGCACAUGCAUCUUGGGAACCUAAUAGUGUUGAAUGAAAUAGGCAAGGUCCCUGCUUUAAUGGAUUUUAUAUUCAAGUUUGGGUAAGACACAUUUUAAAGGCAGUGCUGAAUGUGUCUUAGUGGAAAUACACAAGGUGGAGUGAUGGUGGUGCCGGCGGGAGCUACUUUGAGUGGGGUGGUCAGGCCUUGCUGAGGCAUCAACAUUCGAUGAGACAUGGGGGUAACAAAGCGCCAUCCAUGUGAAGAUCUGGGGGAAGAAGAGACCAGCCAGAGAAACAAGUUAGGCUCCUAGCCCUACUCUGUCCAGUAUGAUAGCUGCUAGGAGUAUGUGGUUAUUUAGGUUGAUCAAGAUUGAGAGCUCCCUGGUGGUCUGGUGGCUAGGAUUCAGCAUCUUCACUGCUGCAGCCCAGGUUCAAUUGCUGGUCUGAGAACUGAGAUCCCACAUCAAGCCACUGCACUCCACGCCCCUCCAAAAAAAUUAAUCAAAAUCAAAUAAAGUUAGGAGUUCCUGUCGUGGCUCAGUGGAAACAAAUCUGACUAGGAUCCGUGAGGACCCAGGCCUCGCUCAGGGGGUUAAGGAUCUGGUGUUGCCAUGAGCUGUGGUGUAGGUCACAGAUGCGGCUUGGAUCCCCCAUUGCUGUGGCUGUGGUGUAGGCCAAAAGCUAUAGCUCCAAUUCGACCCCUAGCCUGGGAACCUCCAUUUGCCGUGGGUGUGGCCCUAAAAAGACCAAAAAAAAAAAAAAAAAAA